GGCAACCCUGACGGAGCAAGACCGCGUGGGGGAUGACGGCCUAAUGGUUGUAAACCCCUUUUCUCUGGGAAGAUGAUGACGGUACCAGAGGAAUCAGCCUCGGCUAACUCCGUGCCAGCAGCCGCGGUAAUACGGAGGAGGCAAGCGUUAUCCGGAAUUAUUGGGCGUAAAGCGUCCGUAGGUGGUUAUUCUAGUCUGCUGUCAAAGCGUGGGGCUUAACUCCAUAGAGGCAGUGGAAACUGGAUGACUUGAGUGCGGUAGGGGUCGAGGGAAUUCCCAGCGUAGCGGUGAAAUGCGUAGAUAUUGGGAAGAACACCAGUGGCGAAAGCGCUCGACUGGGCCUGCACUGACACUGAGGGACGAAAGCUAGGGGAGCG
RNAcentral lists this ribosomal RNA (377 nucleotides) under uncultured cyanobacterium. Its description in RNAcentral is "bacterial SSU rRNA". It matches the Rfam family "Bacterial small subunit ribosomal RNA", at positions 376 to 770 of the family's 1533-position model. Lineage: Bacteria; Bacillati; Cyanobacteriota. The record is from RNAcentral.